This 233-nucleotide unclassified non-coding RNA is filed under the name Funneliformis mosseae. RNAcentral's name for it is "partial contains 5.8S ribosomal RNA and internal transcribed spacer 2". The stretch from base 1 to 71 matches the Rfam family "5.8S ribosomal RNA", at positions 84 to 154 of the family's 154-position model. Lineage: Eukaryota; Fungi; Glomeromycota; Glomeromycetes; Glomerales; Glomeraceae. The record is from RNAcentral.
GUGAAUCAUCAAAUCUUUGAACGCAAAUUGCACUCCCUGGUAUUCCGGGGAGUAUGCCUGUUUGAGGGUCGUUAGAACAAUAAUCGAAGCGUCGCUCUUUUUUGUUUUGGGUGAUCGCGUCGGAAUUGAGCCGUCUAUCAGAUGUUAAUUCAUGUCAAUGGGGUUGGAAAUUAAUCCAUCUGGUGCGAUUAGAGCGUAUUGAAGAGCAAGUUUGAUCAAGAAGGCGCGAUGUA